AUCCGGGUUGCGGACAGUGUCUGGUGGGUAGUUUGACUGGGGCGGUCUCCUCCCAAAGAGUAACGGAGGAGCACGAAGGUUAGCUAAUCCUGGUCGGACAUCAGGAGGUUAGUGCAAUGGCAUAAGCUAGCUUGACUGCGAGAGUGACGGCUCGAGCAGGUGCGAAAGCAGGUCAUAGUGAUCCGGUGGUUCUGAAUGGAAGGGCCAUCGCUCAACGGAUAAAAGGUACUCCGGGGAUAACAGGCUGAUACCGCCCAAGAGUUCAUAUCGACGGCGGUGUUUGGCACCUCGAUGUCGGCUCAUCACAUCCUGGGGCUGAAGUAGGUCCCAAGGGUAUGGCUGUUCGCCAUUUAAAGUGGUACGCGAGCUGGGUUUAGAACGUCGUGAGACAGUUCGGUCCCUAUCUGCCGUGGGCGCUGGAGAAUUGAGGGGGGCUGCUCCUAGUACGAGAGGACCGGAGUGGACGCAUCACUGGUGUUCGGGUUGUCAUGCCAAUGGCAUUGCCCGGUAGCUAAAUGCGGAAAAGAUAAGUGCUGAAAGCAUCUAAGCACGAAACUUGCCCCGAGAUGAGUUCUCCCUGACCCUUUAAGGGUCCUGAAGGAACGUUGAAGACUACGACGUUGAUAGGUCGGGUGUGUAAGCGCAGCGAUGCGUUGAGCUAACCGAUACUAAUGAACCGUGAGGCUUAACCUU
This 693-nucleotide ribosomal RNA is filed under the name Enterobacter asburiae. Its description in RNAcentral is "partial 23S ribosomal RNA". It matches the Rfam family "Bacterial large subunit ribosomal RNA", at positions 2238 to 2925 of the family's 2925-position model. RNAcentral also lists the same sequence under 1 other name. Lineage: Bacteria; Pseudomonadati; Pseudomonadota; Gammaproteobacteria; Enterobacterales; Enterobacteriaceae. The record is from RNAcentral.